This 465-nucleotide ribosomal RNA is filed under the name Vreelandella stevensii. RNAcentral describes it as "partial 16S ribosomal RNA". It matches the Rfam family "Bacterial small subunit ribosomal RNA", at positions 338 to 795 of the family's 1533-position model. Lineage: Bacteria; Pseudomonadati; Pseudomonadota; Gammaproteobacteria; Oceanospirillales; Halomonadaceae. The record is from RNAcentral.
CCUACGGGAGGCUGCAGUGGGGAAUAUUGGACAAUGGGCGAAAGCCUGAUCCAGCCAUGCCGCGUGUGUGAAGAAGGCCUUCGGGUUGUAAAGCACUUUCAGUGGGGAAGAAAGCCUUGAGGCUAAUACCCUCGAGGAAGGACAUCACCCACAGAAGAAGCACCGGCUAACUCCGUGCCAGCAGCCGCGGUAAUACGGAGGGUGCGAGCGUUAAUCGGAAUUACUGGGCGUAAAGCGCGCGUAGGCGGUCUGAUAAGCCGGUUGUGAAAGCCCCGGGCUCAACCUGGGAACGGCAUCCGGAACUGUCAGGCUAGAGUGCAGGAGAGGAAGGUAGAAUUCCCGGUGUAGCGGUGAAAUGCGUAGAGAUCGGGAGGAAUACCAGUGGCGAAGGCGGCCUUCUGGACUGACACUGACGCUGAGGUGCGAAAGCGUGGGUAGCAAACAGGAUUAGAUACCCCAGUAGUC